GGCGGCCGUAGCGCGGUGGUCCCACCUGACCCCAUGCCGAACUCAGAAGUGAAACGCCGUAGCGCCGAUGGUAGUGUGGGGGUCUCCCCAUGCGAGAGUAGGGAACUGCCA
RNAcentral lists this ribosomal RNA (111 nucleotides) under Escherichia coli P0299917.1. Lineage: Bacteria; Pseudomonadati; Pseudomonadota; Gammaproteobacteria; Enterobacterales; Enterobacteriaceae. The record is from RNAcentral.